UGCAACGCGAAGAACCUUACCUGGUCUUGACAUCCACGGAAGUUUUCAGAGAUGAGAAUGUGCCUUCGGGAGCCGUGAGACAGGUGCUGCAUGGCUGUCGUCAGCUCGUGUUGUGAAAUGUUGGGUUAAGUCCCGCAACGAGCGCAACCCUUAUCCUUUGUUGCCAGCGGUCCGGCCGGGAACUCAAAGGAGACUGCCAGUGAUAAACUGGAGGAAGGUGGGGAUGACGUCAAGUCAUCAUGGCCCUUACGACCAGGGCUACACACGUGCUACAAUGGCGCAUACAAAGAGAAGCGACCUCGCGAGAGCAAGCGGACCUCAUAAAGUGCGUCGUAGUCCGGACUGGAGUCUGCAACUCGACUCCAUGAAGUCGGAAUCGCUAGUAAUCGUGGAUCAGAAUGCCACGGUGAAUACGUUCCCGGGCCUUGUACACACCGCCCGUCACACCAUGGGAGUGGGUUGCAAAAGAAGUAGGUAGCUUAACCUUCGGGAGGGCGCUUACCACUUUGUGAUUCAUGACUGGGGUGAAGUCGUAACAAGGUAACCGUAGGGGAACCUGCGGUUGGA
Molecule: ribosomal RNA, 567 nt
Filed under: Salmonella enterica subsp. arizonae serovar 13,23:g,z51:-
Lineage: Bacteria; Pseudomonadati; Pseudomonadota; Gammaproteobacteria; Enterobacterales; Enterobacteriaceae
Description: bacterial SSU rRNA
Rfam family: Bacterial small subunit ribosomal RNA
Source: RNAcentral